CCCUUAGAUGUUCUGGGCCGCACACGCGCUACACUGAAGGAGGCAGCGUGUACUCCUGGAUCGAAAGAUUUGGGUAACCCGCGAAUCUCCGUCGUGCUAGGGAUUGAGGUUUGCAAUUAUCCUUCAUGAACGAGGAAUUCCCAGUAAGUGCAAGUCAUAAGCUUGCGCUGACUACGUCCCUGCCCUUUGUACACACCGCCCGUCGCUACUACCGAUUGAAUGAUUUAGUGAGGACUUCGGACUGGGACCGAUGCGGCUUUCGGGCUGCGUCGGUAUUCUGGAAAGAUGUCCAAACUGUAUCAUUUAGAGGAAGUAAAAGUCGUAACA
RNAcentral lists this ribosomal RNA (327 nucleotides) under uncultured eukaryote. RNAcentral's name for it is "partial 18S ribosomal RNA". It matches the Rfam family "Eukaryotic small subunit ribosomal RNA", at positions 1470 to 1796 of the family's 1831-position model. The record is from RNAcentral.